CUUCCCUGUUUGAGCAGCAGCCACUGCAUCCCUGGUGCCCUGCGUGAGCAGUGCCAGCUCCCAUGAGUUGCCCUCGUGGCACAGAGAGCCCGCAGAUUCCAGCUGCAUUACAGGGCAGUAGGUUCUGCAGGCUUUGAGGUCUUCAGCCACUGCCGCCCUCCUUCAGGCUCUGUCCCUCCCUUAGGUCAGGAACAUCCCAUGUGUGCCACAGGGACAGGCUGGGGCGCUGCGCCUGUGAUGCCGACUGAGCACAUGCUGCACUGCAAAAGGGCCCCCGGUGCCGGUGCCGGCCGCGCCGCACGGAGCAUGCCUCUGAGCCCCGCCGGCAGCAAGCAUGAGAGCCCGGAGUCGCCGCCGCCAGAGCCGCCGCCGCCGCCGGAGCGACAGCCCCGCGCCGCCGGGGAGCCGGGCGCCGGCCUGCGGGAGGAGACGCGGCUCGACCCGGCCCGGGGCCCCGGCGGGCCCCGCUCCCCCAAGCUGGCGGCCCCGGCGCGCAUGGAGGAGCCCGCGCCCGGCGCCAUCGUCGUCCGCAUCGGCAUCCCCGACCUCCAGCAGACGGUUCAUCUGAGCAUAUGUGUGGAGCGAGUGGGGACCGGAGUUUGCUGCCCUUGGACCAGUUCCCUGGUGCCACUCACCGUCUGCAAACACCGCACCCAUGGGAGGGAGCACAGGGACAUCUCUCCUGUCAGAUUGGCUCACCCCACUGUGCAGCCUCAGCUCCUUCUGUGCUGUUCAUCCCCUCCCUUGCUGCCCUGAUUGAAUUGUAAUAAUAAAUUUACACAGUAACAUUUCA
RNAcentral lists this long non-coding RNA (793 nucleotides) under Anser brachyrhynchus (Pink-footed goose). RNAcentral describes it as "lncRNA (ENSABRG00000014473.1)". The record is from RNAcentral. Lineage: Eukaryota; Metazoa; Chordata; Aves; Anseriformes; Anatidae.